UCCAUUUGUCUGAGCGCACAGUCCGGCAGUGAAUGGGUUAGUUUCGCAUUACAAUAGACUAGAGAGUUUGGAGAAACAUGCUCUCCAGCCAUCUUUACCUCGGGACGACGGUUUUGAUUUGGAGUUGGAGCAGUCUAGUUUUUUUUGUAGCUGUAAAUGAAAACCUGACUAAACUGGCGAGAAGCCUAAUCUAAUUAUAGAGAGUUUGACUCGAGAGCAAAAAGGCGCAGAAAGUUGGUUUCGCGGGAGCGAAGAGAAAACACUGUAAAACUCUACUCGCGAGACAAAGAAAAAGAAGAGAAGCUUCUUCGGUAGACGCCUCUACGAAUUACAACCGUUGCUGAAGAAGAGAACAUCUUAUAUGAAAGAAAAAUAUUUUUUUACUUACCAGACAUAUUGGUCUGAAAAGGAGGAAAUCUCUGGAAGAGCUACAGUAAAAUACCCCAACUUCACUUCUUUGCUCUGUUGUAUGGGCAAGAACGAAUUAUUCACAAAAGUCUUAAAAAGUCUCAAUAAAGUAAGCUCAAAACACUCUCAGGACAUACAAUUAUACAGUAAUAUAGCUAGGGAUAUUUUAGUUUGAGUUUUUCUCCCCUCAUCCCUACUAUUUAAAACCCCAAGAACUCAAUGAUUUGACAAUGAUUUGAUUGCGCGAUACUUUCAAUUUGAAUAUUCAAAGGCUUCGUAAAAAGACUUAUUUCUGAGUGAUAUUCGCUAUUAAAGUGCAUAUAACAA
Molecule: long non-coding RNA, 735 nt
Organism: Carassius carassius (crucian carp)
Lineage: Eukaryota; Metazoa; Chordata; Actinopteri; Cypriniformes; Cyprinidae
Exons: 2
Source: RefSeq, a predicted model, not a curated record